This 490-nucleotide ribosomal RNA is filed under the name uncultured bacterium. RNAcentral's name for it is "bacterial SSU rRNA". It matches the Rfam family "Bacterial small subunit ribosomal RNA", at positions 355 to 864 of the family's 1533-position model. The record is from RNAcentral.
UCGGGAAUCUUGGGCAAUGGGCGCAAGCCUGACCCAGCGACGCCGCGUGAGGGAUGAAGGCCUUCGGGUUGUAAACCUCUUUUAUCAGGGAAGAUAAUGACGGUACCUGAUGAAUAAGUCACGGCUAACUACGUGCCAGCAGCCGCGGUAAUACGUAGGUGACAAGCGUUGUCCGGAUUUACUGGGCGUAAAGAGCGCGCAGGCGGUCGUUCAAGUCGAGUGUGAAAGCCCCCGGCUCAACUGGGGAGGUCAUUCGAUACUGAUCGACUCGAAGGCAGGAGAGGGUAGUGGAAUUCCCGGUGUAGUGGUGAAAUGCGUAGAUAUCGGGAGGAACACCAGUGGCGAAGGCGACUACCUGGCCUGUUCUUGACGCUGAGGCGCGAAAGCUAGGGGAGCAAACGGGAUUAGAUACCCCGGUAGUCCUAGCCGUAAACGAUGGACACUAGGUGUUGGUGGUAUCAACCCGCAGUGCCGAAGCUAACGCAUUAAG